AUUUAUAUGUGGCAUGUUGUCAAUAGAUUAAAGUUACAAUUUCACAGUAUGGUCCCUUACUUAUACAUGGGAUGCUUACAGGAAAAUGAGUCCAGCACAAAUGAACAAUUGCCCUGCAUCUAUCCCUACAUAUACAUGGGGUGCUUACAGGAAAAUGAGUCCAGUACAAAUGAACACUUGCCCUGCAUCUAUCCCUACAGACUUGUGAUCACUUUUUCAUACUUUGAUUCGAUCAAUCAAUCAAGAUGUUAACGCUUUUGCUUAUGCAGGUUAGUAAAGUAUGUUUUCGCGUUUCAAAGGGAGUACUUGACGAGUGGAAAACACAAAUAAGAAAAAAGGAAAACAGUCGCUCUUGUGUAGUCAUUCUAUAAUGGUUUCUAGGAGAUGUCAUUUCCCUACAGAAUUUACUUUCAGUCAGCAAGUGGAACGCCCUAAAAAACAGUUUCAUUCUGCUAUAUCCAUCACAACAUUGGUGGUGCUAACGUAAGUAUCAUCCUGCUUCUCCACCAUCUCUAUAUCAGUAUCUCCGUUUAAACUGCAGUGUUUUAUCUCCUCUCCAGGAAUCUCUGAAGGGCUAAUGUCAUGGGAUAUAUUGCUUUCUGUUGUCCUUAAAUUGCUAGUACCCUCGGACACAAAUUCUGUACCUGUUGGAAAAUUGUCAUGUUUUCCCUCAGUAGUGUGAAGCCUACCAUCCCUUAGAAAUGAUGGCACUGGAGAGGGGUUUCCACCUUCGGGCUUCCAAUCUUCUUGAAGUUCACUCCCUGGAGCAUUACCAGGAUUCUGAUGCGCGGAAGAAAGUACUCGUUUCAUCUCUUGGAAAAAGGCCUCCAGUGGAAGGAGGUUCCUUUUUAACGCCAGACUAGCUGGCUGACUUGCUACUGCAUUAAAUGAAUCUUCACCAGAGUCAGAAAGUACCUUGCACAUCUUAUUGUAGAGCUGAGCAACACUCAAACGAUCCACUUCACCAUCACAAGCAAUUUCAGAGAUUCCCUGUGGAGAAAUUGCAAUAAGUUUUGGGAAAUUAUCAACCAUUUCAGUGCCAGCUGCCUCAACACUUCGACUUAGUUCGUCUACAAUCUUGGUGUCACGCUCCAUCUCUUUCCCUGGCAGUUCAUGAGGUUUUCCGCAACCAACAACGUCUCUCUGAUACUCAGCAUUAAUUGCAUUCUCAAGAAGCAUCACCCUUUUCCUUAUAAAUUCAACUUGUCUUCUCUGCAUCUCUCUAAA
This 1227-nucleotide unclassified non-coding RNA is filed under the name Hevea brasiliensis (rubber tree). The record is from RNAcentral. Lineage: Eukaryota; Viridiplantae; Streptophyta; Magnoliopsida; Malpighiales; Euphorbiaceae.